UCAUGGCUCAGGAUGAACGCUGGCGGCGUGNUUAACACAUGCAAGUCGAACGAAGCACUUAAUGAGAUUUCUUCGGAUUGGUUAUUUUGUGACUGAGUGGCGGACGGGUGAGUAACGCGUGGGUAACCUGCCCCAGACCGGGGGAUAACAGUCGGAAACGACUGCUAAUACCGCAUAAGCGCACAGUGCCGCAUGGCACGGUGUAGAAAAACUCCGGUGGUCGUGGGAUCGGACCCGCGUCCGAUUAGUUAGUUGGCGGGUAACGGCCCACCAAGACCGCGAUCGGUAGCCGACCUGAGAGGGUGACCGGCCACAUUGGGACUGAGACACGGCCCAGACUCCUACGGGAGGCAGCAGUGGGGAAUAUUGCACAAUGGAGGAAACUCUGAUGCAGCGACGCCGCGUGAGCGAAGAAGUAUUUCGGUAUGUAAAGCUCUGUCAGCAGGGAAGAUAAUGACGGUACCUGACCAAGAAGCCCCGGCUAACUACGUG
Molecule: ribosomal RNA, 492 nt
Filed under: uncultured bacterium
Lineage: Bacteria
Description: bacterial SSU rRNA
Rfam family: Bacterial small subunit ribosomal RNA
Source: RNAcentral